UCAAACUUGGUCAUUUAGAGGAAGUAAAAGUCGUAACAAGGUCUCCGUUGGUGAACCAGCGGAGGGAUCAUUAUAGAGUGUAAAACUCCCUAAACCUAUGUGAAUCUACCACUGUUGCCUCGGCGGGAUACGCCCGGAGCCCCCUUCGCGGGGACCGGGGCCGGCCCGCCGGAGGACCCAAACUCUAAGUUGAUUUUUUGGAACUGUCUGAGUGGCGCAAGCAAAUAAAUCAAAACUUUCAACAACGGAUCUCUUGGUUCUGGCAUCGAUGAAGAACGCAGC
This 282-nucleotide unclassified non-coding RNA is filed under the name uncultured fungus. RNAcentral describes it as "partial contains small subunit ribosomal RNA, internal transcribed spacer 1, and 5.8S ribosomal RNA". The stretch from base 1 to 73 matches the Rfam family "Eukaryotic small subunit ribosomal RNA", at positions 1759 to 1831 of the family's 1831-position model. The record is from RNAcentral. Lineage: Eukaryota; Fungi.